GAGGUCGUGGGUUCGAUUCCCUCCAGCUCCACC
Molecule: unclassified non-coding RNA, 33 nt
Filed under: Pseudodesulfovibrio piezophilus C1TLV30
Lineage: Bacteria; Pseudomonadati; Thermodesulfobacteriota; Desulfovibrionia; Desulfovibrionales; Desulfovibrionaceae
Description: tmRNA
Source: RNAcentral